RNAcentral lists this ribosomal RNA (253 nucleotides) under uncultured bacterium. Its description in RNAcentral is "partial 16S ribosomal RNA". It matches the Rfam family "Bacterial small subunit ribosomal RNA", at positions 524 to 776 of the family's 1533-position model. The record is from RNAcentral.
UACGUAGGUGGCAAGCGUUGUCCGGAAUUACUGGGCGUAAAGCGUGCGCAGGCGGUUAUGUAAGACAGGUGUGAAAUCCCCGGGCUCAACCUGGGAACUGCAUCUGUGACUGCAUAGCUAGAGUACGGUAGAGGGGGAUGGAAUUCCGCGUGUAGCAGUGAAAUGCGUAGAUAUGCGGAGGAACACCGAUGGCGAAGGCAAUCCCCUGGACCUGUACUGACGCUCAUGCACGAAAGCGUGGGGAGCAAACAGG